This 429-nucleotide ribosomal RNA is filed under the name Gemmatimonadota bacterium. Its description in RNAcentral is "Gemmatimonadetes bacterium partial 16S ribosomal RNA". It matches the Rfam family "Bacterial small subunit ribosomal RNA", at positions 355 to 776 of the family's 1533-position model. The record is from RNAcentral. Lineage: Bacteria; Pseudomonadati; Gemmatimonadota.
UAGGGAAUCUUCGGCAAUGGACGAAAGUCUGACCGAGCAACGCCGCGUGAGUGAAGAAGGUUUUCGGAUCGUAAAACUCUGUUGUUAGAGAAGAACAAGGACGUUAGUAACUGUACGUCCCCUGACGGUAUCUAACCAGAAAGCCACGGCUAACUACGUGCCAGCAGCCGCGGUAAUACGUAGGUGGCAAGCGUUGUCCGGAUUUAUUGGGCGUAAAGCGAGCGCAGGCGGUUUCUUAAGUCUGAUGUGAAAGCCCCCGGCUCAACCGGGGAGGGUCAUUGGAAACUGGGAGACUUGAGUGCAGAAGAGGAGAGUGGAAUUCCAUGUGUAGCGGUGAAAUGCGUAGAUAUAUGGAGGAACACCAGUGGCGAAGGCGGCUCUCUGGUCUGUAACUGACGCUGAGGCUCGAAAGCGUGGGGAGCAAACAGG